Molecule: long non-coding RNA, 1817 nt
Organism: Larimichthys crocea (large yellow croaker)
Lineage: Eukaryota; Metazoa; Chordata; Actinopteri; Sciaenidae
Exons: 6
Source: RefSeq, a predicted model, not a curated record
GAGCUUGUGGCAGGAAGGUUUAUUGAUGCCCGGGUGGGGGAAAAUUUGGGUGUGGAGUGAGCACUAGUCAUGUCAACAAUAGUUUAAAUCCUCAGCCUUGUUCUCCGUACAUAGAUGACUGAAUUAACCUAAUCUAAUUGUUGAUGAAUUGACACAAGCCUAUUAAUUUCUUUUGGCUUUAUGAAGCUGUUGUCAUAGCAACAAACCAAACCUGCAAACGUUUAGUUUACUCACACUUAGCUGGGCCGAGACUUCUGUGGGUGUAUUUGUUUUAAUUCUCACAAUAAUUAGUAAAAUCAACUACAGAAUAGUUCACAUGAAGAAAAGAGCUUCACUGUGAACAAAAGAAAUAUGUGUAUUCAUGCCCAAGUUUGAUCGUUAAUCAGCUUUUGGAGAGAUUUUGGCAGUUUCAUAGCUGGUUAGUGUGGUUAAAGCAACAUUGUGUAAAGUUUCCGGAUGGACAGUGAAGUAGCUGUAGCCACUGUUAGCUCAGAGCACUGGGUGCGAGUGUUAGGCCUAGCGUUUGUACCACCAGGAAGAGGAGGUUUUUAGGCGGGAAGCAGGAGACAGUGUCGUGCCAGAAUCGAAGCUGGACCAAAGGUGACUUCCGACAGAGGAAGCUAAGAAGAAAAAAGGAGGGAGUGACCGAGCAAGAAGCCGCCUUGUUGGUGAGAGCUUGGUGAAAUAAAAGGCUAAAAGACGGAUGCCGAGCUGGACUGACUGCUUUUAGACAAGUGGGUGCCGUCACAUUUGGCUUGUUUGGGGCAUCAUUCAGCUUCACCCAUGCUGCAUGACUUUGCCUGUUUGAGGCCUGCCAAGAUGGUGUCAGCCAGAGCCACCACACCCUGAGUUUCACAACGGCUGUUCGGAAAGCGGGUAGUAUGGUGGUGCAGUAGUCUCACAGCAAGAAGGUUCACUGGUCCGAAGCCCCCCAGCCGUUCUGCAUCAGAGCCAGCCCCGUCUUGAUUCCAGCCUUUUCUUCAAUGCUCUUUACCUCCAAACAACAACACUGCGGAGGGAGCCCUGAGGGGCUACAUCGAGGGUGGAUGCUGUGUUGCUGUUACAAAUGAUCCUGUGGGAGACUUACUGACAGCCAAGCUCGGUGUGGCUCCACAUGCCUCAUCACCACACACACACACACACACACACAUCACAUCGCUGCAGCUGCCCACGGUGAGUGAGGCAUGUUGGUCCCAGAGUAAACUCCCACUACAUAUCCUGUCAGCUCAGAGAAAGUGUCAAUCAGCUUGUCCAAGUCAGCUAAAGAGAUGUGUCUACGCCAGCAAAAUAUACUUGACUAGCUGUCCUUCCUGACUUCUGACAGCAAAUAACACUGUUCUCGCCUGAACAAUGCCUCUUUUCUAGUUUUUAAACUUUAUCGAUCGACGGAUGGAGUUUUGCUGAGCAUUUUCUCCACAGUUUCCCACCUGGGAACUGCCCACUACAAACACACUCAGCAUUUAAAUCUGGACAUUAUUUAGAGAGUUAGCCAACGUAAAGUUCAAUACAAUUAAAUGACUUCUGGGAACCUCAGUGAACGUACUAUUCAUUUAUUUCCCUCCUCUGAAUGUCAUGAUUUACACGGCACCUGUCCACUGACUGUUGUCUUUGGGUGUUGUGGCCUGUGACAUCAUCAGCCUAAUUAAUACCGCUGAGCAAACAGCUGCCACACCUGACAUUAAUCAGCUGUUGUUCAACACCUCUAUCUGUGCUGCUGGAGCCAACAAAUAUCAACAAAAGUAGGUUGUUUUACCCAAGAGACAACACGUUUAUGAUGAACAACAUGCCUUCUCAUGACUAAGCAGCUUUAUAGAUAG